GAUGAACGCUGGCGGCGUGCCUAAUACAUGCAAGUCGAGCGAACAGAUAAGGAGCUUGCUCCUUUGACGUUAGCGGCGGACGGGUGAGUAACACGUGGGUAACCUACCUAUAAGACUGGGAUAACUUCGGGAAACCGGAGCUAAUACCGGAUAACAUUUGGAACCGCAUGGUUCUAAAGUGCAAGAUGGUUUUGCUAUCACUUAUAGAUGGACCCGCGCCGUAUUAGCUAGUUGGUAAGGUAACGGCUUACCAAGGCAACGAUACGUAGCCGACCUGAGAGGGUGAUCGGCCACACUGGAACUGAGACACGGUCCAGACUCCUACGGGAGGCAGCAGUAGGGAAUCUUCCGCAAUGGGCGAAAGCCUGACGGAGCAACGCCGCGUGAGUGAUGAAGGGUUUCGGCUCGUAAAACUCUGUUAUUAGGGAAGAACAAAUGUGUAAGUAACUGUGCACGUCUUGACGGUACCUAAUCAGAAAGCCACGGCUAACUACGUG
Molecule: ribosomal RNA, 497 nt
Filed under: uncultured bacterium
Lineage: Bacteria
Description: partial 16S ribosomal RNA
Rfam family: Bacterial small subunit ribosomal RNA
Source: RNAcentral